Molecule: ribosomal RNA, 429 nt
Filed under: Bacteroidota bacterium
Lineage: Bacteria; Pseudomonadati; Bacteroidota
Description: Bacteroidetes bacterium partial 16S ribosomal RNA
Rfam family: Bacterial small subunit ribosomal RNA
Source: RNAcentral
UAGGGAAUCUUCGGCAAUGGGGGGAACCCUGACCGAGCAACGCCGCGUGAGUGAAGAAGGUUUUCGGAUCGUAAAGCUCUGUUGUUAAGGAAGAACGAGUGUGAGAAUGGAAAGUUCAUACUGUGACGGUACUUAACCAGAAAGGGACGGCUAACUACGUGCCAGCAGCCGCGGUAAUACGUAGGUCCCGAGCGUUGUCCGGAUUUAUUGGGCGUAAAGCGAGCGCAGGCGGUUAGAUAAGUCUGAAGUUAAAGGCAGUGGCUCAACCAUUGUAGGCUAUGGAAACUGUUUAACUUGAGUGCAGAAGGGGAGAGUGGAAUUCCAUGUGUAGCGGUGAAAUGCGUAGAUAUAUGGAGGAACACCGGUGGCGAAAGCGGCUCUCUGGUCUGUAACUGACGCUGAGGAUCGAAAGCGUGGGGAGCGAACAGG